Molecule: ribosomal RNA, 446 nt
Filed under: uncultured bacterium
Lineage: Bacteria
Description: partial 16S ribosomal RNA
Rfam family: Bacterial small subunit ribosomal RNA
Source: RNAcentral
CCUACGGGAGGCAGCAGUCGAGAAUCAUUCACAAUGGGGGAAACCCUGAUGGUGCGACGCAGCGUGGGGGAAUGAAGGUCUUCGGAUUGUAAACCCCUGUCAUGUGGGAGCAAAUUAAAAAGAUAGUACCACAAGAGGAAGAGACGGCUAACUCUGUGCCAGCAGCCGCGGUAAUACAGAGGUCUCAAGCGUUGUUCGGAAUCACUGGGCGGAAAGCGUGCGUAGGCUGUUUCGUAAGGCGUGUGUGAAAGGCGCGGGCUCAACCCGCGGACGGCACAUGAUACUGCGGGCCUAGAGUAAUGGAGGGGGAACCGGAAGUCUCGGUGUAGCAGUGAAAUGCGUAGAUAUCGAGAGGAACACUCGUGGCGAAGGCGGGUUCCUGGACAUUAACUGACGCUGAGGCACGAAGGCCAGGGGAGCGAAAGGGAUUAGAUACCCGUGUAGUC